UCUAAUACCUGACUCCCCGCCGAAGCCACUAUUUGCACAUCUUAAACCACUUAUUGGAUUUGUACAGGAUUUUUCAGCCUGAGUGCCAUCGCUGUGUUCACGUGGGUGAUAUUUGUAAAUCCUGGCUUUACAUGUCAUUCACCGAACCAUUGUCAGAAGGUUCCAGAUUCCCAGGCAGCCAGAAGCCCUGCUGCCUUUCAUGGCUGGAUGUUCCAUGGGCCGGGUCUUGGCUCUGGUGCUGCGGGCGGUGGGGCCCACCUGGGCCCUGGGCCUCUGUCUUCUUAGUGGAGGGCUCCCUCCUCACUCUCGGCCUGUCCCCAUGGAAGCUGGGUCAGCCCCUCACAACCUCGUCCUCGCUACCCGUCUCCAGAAAAGGUUACAACACUUCUCUGCUGGAUGCUCCAUCAAGUCUUGUUUACUGUAACCAGAAGAUAGAAUUUCCAAACAAGCCCUGGUUGCUGACAGCACUAGGAGAAGCAUGCGGCCUGCCAUUCCGGUCUCUGUCAAGCCCGAGCCCCACCUGCUUUCUGGCUUUGGCUGACACUGGUUGGUUUGGCCCCAACACAAGUGUUAGAGCAUGAGCAUGUGAGAUGCCACAGGCCAGGUGACAUGCCAGUGCUACGAAGCGGGUGGAUGGCGGGGCAUCUUUGUGUACAUAGAAAGGCCACAUGCCCCACCAAGCUGUGACAGCCACUUCUCCCAAAUUAAAUGAAUAAUAUUUCUUUCAUUAUGUUCUCACAAACAUGUUGUAAAACAAUAAGACUUGAGCUACACUCAGUCCAUAUUUCGGGAUUUCAAACGAAUGGCAAGUGAAUAUUCAUGUUUAUCUCUGAGUUGAUUGACAGGUAGAACUUUAAAAAAAACACACACACACAAAAAACAUGUUUGCCCUGGUCGGGUGGUUCAGGUGGUUGGAGUGUCCUCUUGUAUACAAAAAGGUUGCAGGUUCAAUUCUAGGUCAGGGCACAUACCUAGGUUGCGGGUUCAAUCCCUGGUUGGGUUGUGUACAAGAAGCAACUAAUCCAUGUUUCUCUCUCUCUCUCUCUCUCUCUCUCUCUCUCAAAUCAAUUUAAAAAACAUGCUUAUACCUGAUUUAAGAAUUACCUUUUCAAAGCAACACAAAUCAUCACAUGGCCAAAUGCUGCAGAGCAGCAAAUAACUUUUUUUUUCACUCUAAUAAAGCAGUAAAGAACUUACUAGAAAAACAGUGUAGGAUCUCAUACAGAUCCUCACAGUUUCCUCAGAAUUUGUAGUUCUGUACGCUCUCACCAGGUCCAUGCUGCUAAUGCACCUGCAGUUGAAUUUAUUUCAAGUGUUAGCAGAAAAGGAUUAGGAAAAAAGUUACACUUUAAAAAUUCUAGUGUGGGUUAUAGCGUUCAUAAAUGUGCUAUAUCCGGAAACCCAGGGGUUCUCUGAGUUCUGACGUUACUGCUGAAUAAAUAUGUGAACAUAAAAGUUAGAUAACAUUUCUAUGGUUUAUUUUUUUCAUCUUAAAAAUGGAAGAUCCAACCCAAGGCCAAAAUACUUCUGAAAUUUUUGAAGAAUUGCUAACGAAGAACUCAGAAAUCCUGAAAGACUCUAAAGGGCUCUUGCCUCUGCUAUCCAAAUUUUAAAUAAAAUCACUGUGAAAUUUGUGACUAUUAGCAUUUUUUCCAGCAUAAUAUGUUUUUAAACUUACAUUUUUAAAUAUCUUUAUUUUUUUAACUGCUUAGCUGAAAACCAUGAACUUCCAAGGAGCAGAAUACAUCUAGUUAAAUUCUUUGUAAUAGAUUUUACAGAUAAGAAGUGAACCGCAGAGGGAUUAAAAAAACAAAAAUUAUGUUAAUAUGUGGGGAGCUGUAAGAUUUAGACUUACAUCCUAUAGUUUGUGACUUUCACAACUACUCCCUAAUGUUCCUAAAAUAACCCACCAUAUUUCAAUGUGGGAAUACGAGUAUUCUGCAGGACCAUAGUCCAGAAUUUAUUGUGCUAUAAAUUAGAGCACAAUAAUUUAUAGUCCAGUUUUACAUCAAUGGACUCAUGGUGCUUUUUGGCAGCCAAGUCCUUUUUCACCUUCACCAGGAAAACAGCAUCUUCACUGUUUACAUCAAAGAAAGGUCACUGAUACUGCGCUAAGUAUGCUUGCAAUGUUAUGCUGCCUAAUAAAUGUCCUUUGGGGAGUUUACUUAUUCCCGUUCUGUGUGCCGAGUAGAUUAUUGCUGAUAAAAAGUUAUGCUUCCCCCGAGAACAAUAGAGAAAAGUCCCAGUUAUCUUUCCCCAAAUUCUGGGCCAUUUAGAGCAUCUUUUAAGCCCAUCGUUGGAAUAGGAAUGUCAUCUGUUUGAAAUAGCCUGCCAAAAUAGAUUUAAAUUCAGGCACUCUUGGAUACGCAGGCUCAGAGACCAGUGAGGGGAAUCUUGAGACCUUGUGGAGACAGCUUUUAUUAGAGCUUAAGUAUUAGUAUUCAACAGGGUGACUUUGAAGACUGAAUCUCUAAGCAGAAUAUUCAGACGUGGCUGCUAUCCUCCAUGUUUGUUUGUUGUCUUUUUUCUUUUCUUUUUUUUGAAGUCCAACACGGAGAAGGUUGUUCCUCACUGCACUGUGUAUAUUUCAGUAGGGAAUCUACAGAAAGAAGUACAUUACCUUGUUUAAACAUAUUGAUUCUCUGUGCCAAGUCCACCAUUUUGAGGAGGAUACCUCUCAAAUAUUUUACUGGUAGUAUGGAUGCAAAAUGGUAAACCAAGAAAAAAAUAACACGCAGAUAAAUAAAAAAUUUUCCCUGACAUUUUCUCCCCCCCCCCCCCCCGCUUUUUUUAUUUGUUCUUGAUUUUAUAUUAAUUUCAGGUCACAGUUCUAUAAUUUUCAAAGUGGUCCCCUGGAUAACACUGGCACGAUGCAGGGUGAGUACAGUAUUGUUGACUCUAUCCCCUAUGCUGGGCUUCAAAUCUCCAGCACUGUUUUGAAGCUCCCAAUUUGCACUUCUUAAUCCCUUUACCCACCCCAGCCCCCAGGCCUCUCCCUACUGGCAACUCUCAACUGGUCCUCUACAUCUCUGAGUCUGUUUCUGUUUAGUUUGCUCAUUUAUUUUUUUCUUUAGAGCUCAUAUGUAAGUAAAAUCAUAUGGCAUUUAUUGUUCUCUGUCUGACUUAUUUUACCUAGUAUAAUACCCUCUAACUCCAUCCACGUUGUCGCAAAAGGUUAGAUUUUACUAUUUUGCAUCUUUUUUUAAUUUUUAGUUUUCAAUUAUAGUGUACUAUCAAUAUGAUUUUGUAUGGGUUGAAGGUAGGUUUGCAGA
This is a long non-coding RNA of Myotis myotis, 3272 nucleotides long. RefSeq lists it as uncharacterized. NCBI's taxonomy places the organism in Eukaryota, Metazoa, Chordata, Mammalia, Chiroptera, Vespertilionidae. The transcript has 3 exons. The record is from RefSeq and is a predicted model, not a curated record.